RNAcentral lists this ribosomal RNA (499 nucleotides) under Penthe sp. UPOL ZL0133. RNAcentral's name for it is "partial 16S ribosomal RNA". The stretch from base 373 to 499 matches the Rfam family "Archaeal large subunit ribosomal RNA", at positions 2542 to 2669 of the family's 2987-position model. The record is from RNAcentral. Lineage: Eukaryota; Metazoa; Arthropoda; Insecta; Coleoptera; Tetratomidae.
UUUAAAGUCUGGCCUGCCCAAUGAUUUAAAUAUUUAAUGGCCGCAGUAUUUUGACUGUGCAAAGGUAGCAUAAUCAUUAGUUUUUUAAUUGAAAGCUAGUAUGAAUGGUUUUAUGAAAAAAUAACUGUCUCAUUUAUAAAUUUAUAAUUUUAUUUUUAAGUUAAAAAGCUUAAAUAUAUUAAAAAGACGAGAAGACCCUAUAGAGUUUAAUAUAAUAAAUUUUAGUAUAGAUAUUUAGAUUAAUAAAUUAUUUAAAUUUUAUUAUGUUUUAUUGGGGUGAUAGAAAAAUUUAAUUAACUUUUUAUAAAUUUUAACAUUAAUGUAUGAAUUUUUGAUCCUAUAAUUUAGAUUAUAAGAAAAAAUUACCUUAGGGAUAACAGCGUAAUUUUUUUUUAGAGUUCUAAUCGAAAAAAAAGAUUGCGACCUCGAUGUUGGAUUAAAAUUAAAUUAUGGUGUAGAAGCUAUAAAUUUAGGUCUGUUCGACCUUUAAAAUUUUACA